UAGGUCAAAGGUCAAGGUAAAAAAAACUUCGGUUUCAGUUCACAACCCUGUGUCCUGUGGUGAAGAUCGUGUCCGCUCUAUAUCUUGAGAACCGUUAUGAUUUCAAAUAUUAUACUUGACACGCAUUUUAACCAACACCAGAGGGUGUGUCAUAAUGUAUGUACAACUUCCUAGGUCAAAGGUCUGUCUGUCUGUUGGUCUGUCCAUCGCUAACAAAUUUGAUCCACACUAUAUUUUGAGAGGACAGCUGUUAUUAUUUCAUACUUUAUACCUGACAAACAUUUUCAACUUAACAUAUAUAUUAACCAACACCAG
Molecule: long non-coding RNA, 315 nt
Filed under: Mytilus galloprovincialis (Mediterranean mussel)
Lineage: Eukaryota; Metazoa; Mollusca; Bivalvia; Mytilida; Mytilidae
Source: RNAcentral